CGAAGAGUGGCGGAGGAGAGGCGGCGGGUGUUGUUCGCGAGAAGACGGAAAGAGACGAGUGCUAUCUGCUGUGCGUGAAUGGCUACUUAUGCCUUUGCAAUUUGAGUGACGUCACUCAGCGCGUGAAUUGCUGUGUGAAUUACUGCGCGAGUAAGUGUGGUGGCGGAAAUGAUUGUGGAGAUGUUCCGAAAAAGCCUAAUUGCUAAUUUGAAUACAUUUUGUCAAUUAAUAAUUAUUAGUGAAUUUAUAUUCUACUAAUUAUAAUAACCUAUAAUUUAGAACACAAUCCCCGAUUAUAAUUUGUUCGAUUUUCGCAAGGUUGGUCGUGAUUAAUUAAAUAAAUAUUGGAC
This 350-nucleotide long non-coding RNA is filed under the name Erythranthe guttata (spotted monkey flower). RNAcentral's name for it is "long non-coding RNA (EGUT_LNC002773)". Lineage: Eukaryota; Viridiplantae; Streptophyta; Magnoliopsida; Lamiales; Phrymaceae. The record is from RNAcentral.